UGGAAUUUUGAGGUGGUUGGAUUUGGUUAGUGGGGUAGUGGGGAGUUAAAGAGAUUUUAGGGAUAUACUUCUUUUUCCAAAAUUUUUCUCUUCCCCAAAUUCACGUUUAUUUUUCCCAUCUUCCAUAUUGUUUUUUUUCUUUCUUCUUUUUUUUUCUCUCCUUUUCCUUUGGUCAAACGGCAGCGUGGUGAGUUCUUCGAUUUUGCUUAAUCAUUCGGGUCCUUGUAAUUAUCUAUUCUGCAGUCGGAGUAUUUCGUAAGUAGUUUUUUACCCUUUUCGUUGCAUGGCAGGGAUUUUCUAUUAGGGGAGUUAAUUUGCAAUUUUCAUGAAUAUUGAGUUUGAAUGCUUGGAUUUGAUUGAUUGUUUAGGAGAGGGGCUGGAAACGUUUGAUUCUUCGACGAAUUAGAU
Molecule: long non-coding RNA, 408 nt
Filed under: Gossypium raimondii (Peruvian cotton)
Lineage: Eukaryota; Viridiplantae; Streptophyta; Magnoliopsida; Malvales; Malvaceae
Description: long non-coding RNA (GRAI_LNC005830)
Source: RNAcentral